RNAcentral lists this ribosomal RNA (253 nucleotides) under uncultured bacterium. RNAcentral describes it as "partial 16S ribosomal RNA". It matches the Rfam family "Bacterial small subunit ribosomal RNA", at positions 524 to 776 of the family's 1533-position model. The record is from RNAcentral.
CACGUAGGCACCAAGCGUUGUCCGGAUUUCUUGGGCGUAAAGAGCUCGUAGGCGGUUUGUCGCGUCUGCCGUGAAAGUCCGGGGCUCAACUCCGGAUCUGCGGUGGGUACGGGCAGACUAGAGUGAUGUAGGGGAGACUGGAAUUCCUGGUGUAGCGGUGAAAUGCGCAGAUAUCAGGAGGAACACCGAUGGCGAAGGCAGGUCUCUGGGCAUUAACUGACGCUGAGGAGCGAAAGCAUGGGGAGCGAACAGG